RNAcentral lists this unclassified non-coding RNA (2025 nucleotides) under Hevea brasiliensis (rubber tree). The record is from RNAcentral. Lineage: Eukaryota; Viridiplantae; Streptophyta; Magnoliopsida; Malpighiales; Euphorbiaceae.
CGCAUGUAGCCAAAGCCAUAGCCCGAUACUCUGCUUUGGCACUUGACCGGGCCACCACAUCUCGCUUCUUACUUUUCCAAGAUAUAAGAUUCCCUCCAAUUAGAGAGCAAUACUCUGAAGAUUACCUUGUAUCUGAAAGAGAUCCUGCCCAAUCAGCAACAAAAUACCAAACAAUCUGUGCAUGUCCCCUAUCUUCAUAUAACAGAUCUUUUCCUGUAGUUCCUCUAAUAUACCUGGGAAUCCGAACUACUGCGCUCCAGUGACUAUCACAAGGGGUUUGUAGAAAUUGGCUGACCACACUUAUUGCGAAAGAGAUAUCUAGUCGUCUGAUUGUGAGGUAAUUUAACCUACCAACAAGUCUUUGAUAUUGGCUAGGAUCUUUCAAAGGAUCCCCCUAUCCAGGAAUAAGCUUAAUAUUUGGGUCCAUGGGAGUACCAACAAGUUUACAAUCUAAUAUGCCAGUUUCUUUCAAUAUAUUCAAUGCAUAUUUUCUUUUUGAAAUAGCAAUACCAUUGCUAGAUUGGGCAACCUUAAUGCCUAGGAAAUACUUUAGCUUUCCUAAAUCUUUGGUUUGGAAAUAAUUGGUCAAAUGCUGUUUCAAUUGGGCAACGCCCUCAUGAUCAUCACCUGUUAUGACAAUAUCAUUAACAUAAACUAUCAAAUAAAUACACUUGCUAUGAGAAGAAUAUCAAUAGAAAACUGAAUGGUCUGCUUCACUUUGAUGCAGCCCAAAUGUUGAAUAACAGUACUGAACCAAUCAAGCCAUGCUCUCGGGAAUUGUUUCAGAUCACAAAAAGACUAGUGCAGUCAAUACACCAAUCCAGACUUUCUUUGAGCGACGAACCCUAGUGGUUGCUCCAUAUAUACUUUUUCAACAAGUUCGCCAAGAAAGAACGCAUUUUUAAUGUCCAAUUGAUGAAGAGGCCAGUGAAACACAGUUGUCAUAGAGAUAAGAAGACGAAUAGAAGCAAUCUUUGCUACAGGAGAAAAAGUAUCACCAUAAUCAAGGCCAAAUAUCUAAGCAUAGCCUUCGGCAACCAUUUGAGCUUUGAGACGAUCAUUUUUCCCAUCUAGUCCUACCUUAACUGUAAAUACCUAACGAUAUCCAACUGUAUUUUUACCAUGUGGUAAGGGAACUAUCUCCCAAGUACCACUAUUAUGAAGAGCAGUCAUUUCCUCAAUCAUAGCCUGCCGCCAACCAUUAUGAGACAUUACUUCUGCCACAGUCUUUGGUAUUGGAACAAUGGAUAAAUUGGUAACAAAAGCAUGAUAUGAAGGUGACAAACCAUGAUAACUCAAGAAAUUAUAAAUGGGAUAAGGAUUGUGAGAGGAUCAAGUACCUUUUCGAAGGGCAAUAGGAAGGGUAGCUUCAUCUGUUAAGGGCUCGACCGGUGCAAGAGAUGGUGUUGGAGUAGGCAAUGAGUCACUGGAAGCAGUCUAUGGAUCUGUAUCAUAAGAAGAAACAUCAAUUGGGUUAGUAAGCAAAGGAAUUGAUUAAGGUCGUUUUGAGUAAACCUAAAGUGGAGAAAACUUUUGUUCAGGAAGAAUAGAAAUAGGAAGAGAUGUGGAAAUGGACGUUUGGUUAACUGUAUUUGCUGAAAAAUACAGAGAAGUCUAGAAAAAGGUUACAUCUGCUGAAACCAAAAAUUUAUCGGUAGUUGGAUCAUAGCAUUUGACCUUUUUUAAGACAAGAGUACCCUAGCAAAACGCAUUUGAUAGAUUUUAGUUGAAAUUCGUGUUUUCCUGGGGUGAGAUUGCGAACAAAAUUGGCAUAACCAAAUACACGCAACAGAAGAGGAAAUGGAUUUUGAUCUGCAUAAAGAAACUGAAUGAGGACUCUGAUGCUGCAAAAUGGAAGAGGGCAUUUUAUUAAUCAAAUAAUAAGCAGUAAGAACAACAUCCCCCCAAAACAUAGAGGAACAUUAUGGUGUAUGAGUAAGGUUCAGGCAACUUCAAUUAGAUGCUUAUUUUUCCGCUCGAUGGCCCCAUUUUGUUAAGGGAUAUAAGCACAGGAAGUUUGAUGAG